Non-coding RNA from Caenorhabditis briggsae, 46 nucleotides. The record is from Rfam. NCBI's taxonomy places the organism in Eukaryota, Metazoa, Nematoda, Chromadorea, Rhabditida, Rhabditidae.
CCAACGGCCCUCUUUAGGGCCACAAAUCGUGUCCUGCUUUUAUUUU